Molecule: ribosomal RNA, 1050 nt
Filed under: Triticum aestivum (bread wheat)
Lineage: Eukaryota; Viridiplantae; Streptophyta; Magnoliopsida; Poales; Poaceae
Description: partial small subunit ribosomal RNA
Source: RNAcentral
AUGGCCCCUAAUAGAGCCCCUGGACCCGACAAUAUCCCUGCUGAGUUCUAUCAGGUGUGCUGGGAUAUAGUUAAAGAUGAUAUUAUGGCCUUUAAAGCCUUCCACCAACGGACACUAGAUGUUCAGAGGAUUAAUUAUGGAGUUAUUACUCUGCUCCCUAAAGUUUCUGGAGCCGAGAAAAUCCAGCAAUACAGGCCUAUCUGCUUGUUGAGAUGCCCAUAUAAGCUGAUCACCAAAGUCCUUGACCGAAGAGUUGCUAUAUAUGCAAACAAACUCAUUAGCCCUACUCAGAACGCCUUUGUAAAGGGGAGAAAUAUCAUGGACGGUGUCUUGUCCCUUCAUGAAAUUCUUAACUACACUUAUGUUAAGAAGAAAGUGGGGAUUGUCCUUAAGUUGGACUUUGAAAAAGCCUAUGAUAAGGUGAAUUGGGACUUUCUCCUAGAAUGCCACAAGAUGCGGGGCUUUGAUGAUACGUGGUGCAGAUGGAUUGAAUAGAUACUGCAUAAUGGGGCAGUUAGCAUCAAGCUUAAUGGUAGUGUUGGGCCGUAUUUUCAAAGCAAAAAAGGGGUAAGGCAGGGGGACCCACACUCUCCUUUCCUGUUCAAUCUAGCCGUUGAAUGCCUUACCAAAAUGAUCAAAAAUGCCCAAAAAAACAAACUUAUUGUGGGCUUGGCUGCCGACCUUAUUCCUGAUGGGGUGGCGGUCCUGCAAUAUGCGGAUGAUACAAUCAUUUGCAUUGAAGAUGAUGUUGAUAAGGCAGUCAACCUGAAGUUGCUGCUGUAUAUGUUUGAGAUGAUGUCUGGUCUGAAAGUUAACUUUCAUAAAAGUGAGAUUCUCAUUAUGGGUGGAGAUGAAAGUGUGGUGAAUAAAUAUGUAGAAAUCUUUGACUGUGAGGUUGGCAGCUUCCCACUCAAAUACUUGGGGAUGCCUGUGAGCUAUGCUAAUCUAAAAACCUCUGAUUGGGAGUUUAUUGUUGGUAAAUACCUGAAGAGGUUUGAGGCCUGGAUCGGCAAUGCUACCUCAAUGGUGGGGGAGACACACUCUGCUUGA